Molecule: non-coding RNA, 351 nt
Organism: Biomphalaria pfeifferi
Lineage: Eukaryota; Metazoa; Mollusca; Gastropoda; Planorbidae
Source: the annotation of a GenBank genome assembly
UAAAAAAAAUCUUUGAAGAUUGAUAGAAUUUAAAUUUUUUUCAUAGUUUCCAAAUAUACAUGAUAAGAUUUUGAUAUAAAUACUUGGCAUGAAUUUCAAUAAACAACUAUUUAUAGUUUCAAGACAAAUAUGAACAAAAAAAAAAUCACUGAAAGAAUGUACAAAGUUUGUGUACAUUCUCUUACCACUUGGAAGUACAAAGUAUUGGGUUGAGAGUGUUUCUUCACUAAUACAAUGUGCCCACAUAGGAGUUCUACAUCAACACUGACAUGGUAUACAAAGUGAACUAUUUUGUUGAAGAUGUACAUUUCUAUUCUACUGACAUAUUGUUUUUUUUUUUUUUUUCUUCUU